Molecule: ribosomal RNA, 253 nt
Filed under: uncultured bacterium
Lineage: Bacteria
Description: partial 16S ribosomal RNA
Rfam family: Bacterial small subunit ribosomal RNA
Source: RNAcentral
UACGUAGGGUGCGAGCGUUGUCCGGAAUUAUUGGGCGUAAAGAGCUCGUAGGCGGUUUGUCACGUCGGAUGUGAAAUCCCGGGGCUUAACUCCGGGCCUGCAUUCGAUACGGGCUGACUAGAGUUCGGCAGGGGAGACUGGAAUUCCAGGUGUAGCGGUGAAAUGCGUAGAUAUCUGGAGGAACACCGGUGGCGAAGGCGGCAUCCUGGACCAACACUGACGCUGAGGAGCGAAAGCCAGGGGAGCAAACGGG